Molecule: ribosomal RNA, 301 nt
Filed under: uncultured bacterium
Lineage: Bacteria
Description: partial 16S ribosomal RNA
Rfam family: Bacterial small subunit ribosomal RNA
Source: RNAcentral
CAGCAGCCGCGGUAAUACAGAGGGUGCAAGCGUUAUCCGGAAUGAUUGGGCGUAAAGCGUCUGUAGGUGGCUUUUCAAGUCCGCCGUCAAAUGCCAGGGCUCAACCCUGGACAGGCGGUGGAAACUACCAAGCUGGAGUACGGUAGGGGCAGAGGGAAUUUCCAGUGGAGCGGUGAGAUGCGUUGAGAUCGAAAAGAACACCAACAGCGAAAGCACUCUGCUGGGACAACACUGACACUAAGAGACGAAAGCUAGGGGAGCAAAUGGGAUUAGAUACCCCCGUAGUCCCUGUCUCUUAUAA